This is an RNA transcript of Cottoperca gobio, 1662 nucleotides long. It is a transcript of the gene named keratin, type I cytoskeletal 18-like, with no coding region annotated. The record is from RefSeq and is a predicted model, not a curated record. The transcript is spliced from 7 exons. Lineage: Eukaryota; Metazoa; Chordata; Actinopteri; Perciformes; Bovichtidae.
CCCCUGCCAGCGUUUCUUUCUAAGCCGGCCAGCAGCUCCACUUCUCAUUUUUCACUUCAUUCUCUGCCGUCCCUAAACUUCUCCAAAAUGAACUACAGAAAAUCCACCAUGAAUCCGACAUCUUCUUCCUAUAUCUCCAUGACCCGCUCCGGACCCCAGUAUUCUUCCAGCAUUUAUGGCGGUGCUGGUGGAAAGGGCUCCCGCAUUUCCUCUUUCUCCACAUCUUCCCUGCGGUCUGGUGCCCCAAUGACCUCUUCAUCCUCUGCCUUCAAGCUGAGCAAUGCAUUGGGUGGUGGUAUGGGCUCAGGUUUUGGUGGUGCCGGUGCAUCCAUGGCGACUGGUGGUGGUGCCGGCAGUUCUAGCAUCACGGGCAACGAGAAGGGAGCCAUGCGGAACCUGAACGACCGCCUGGCUAACUACCUGGAGACGGUGAGGAACCUGGAACAGGCCAACAAGGAGCUGGAGAUGAAGAUCAUGGAGGCUCUGGAGAAGGGAGGGCCCAACCUGAGAGACUACAGCAAGUAUGAACCCAUCAUAGAAGACCUUCGCAGACAGAUCUUCGAUGAGAUUUUGGACAACGCUCGUUUUGUGCUCCAGAUCGACAAUGCCCGUCUUGCUGCUGACGACUUCAAAGUAAAGUUCGACAAUGAGUUGGCAAUCCGACAGUCUGUGGAGGCUGACAUCGCUGGUCUGAAGAAAGUCAUAGAUGACACCAACAUGACCAGGAUGAACAUCGAGAGCGAGAUUGAAAAUGUGAAGGAGGAGCUCACCUUCCUGAAGAAGAACCAUGAGAUUGAGGUGAUGGAGCUGAGGAAUCAGAUCUCCAACUCAGGAGUGCAAGUGGACAUUGACGCCCCCAAAGGUCAGGACCUGGCUCAGAUCAUGCAAGACGUGAGAGGCAACUAUGAGAAGAUCGCCAUGAAAAACGCAGAAGACCUCAAACAGUGGCAUGAAAAUCAGAUUGCAGAUGUGCAGGUGGAGGUAUCACAGAACACAGAAGCUCUCCAUGGAGCACAAAUGGAGAGGGGUGAUUCGUCCAGGCAGAUACAGACACUGGAAAUUGAACUUGCGUCCCAACAGAGCUUAAAAGCGUCCCUAGAGGAGACAUUACGCAACACAGAGCAGCGUAACAACAUGGAAACGGAGAAGUAUAACAACAUUAUUAUCCGUCUGGAGGAGGAGCUGACCAACUUGCGUGCAAACAUCCAGAAUCAGACCCAAGAGUAUGAGUCGCUGCUCAGCAUGAAGAUGAAACUGGAGGCCGAGAUUGGAACUUACAAGAGUCUGCUGGAUGGUGGAGACUUCAAGUAAGAGAGUUAGGUGGAGGAGAAAAUACAGAUCCAGGCAUGGUGUUGAUGGUGGUGGAGGCUCCAGGAUGCACUGGAAGAGCUGGCGGCCGCAAACUAAUUUGGAACAAAGAAUCUGGGACCAUCCCAACAAUGAAAGCUGAACAACCCACAACUUUCCAUUACGGAAAAGAAUCAUGCUGGUCCAAUCAACUAAAGCCAGUUUUGAACCAAGACUACAUUCCAUGUUAACCAUAAAUAAAGCAAUUCUGAAUAAAGGCAUUCGACCUCAGGCAAGGCUAUUUGAAAAAAAAUAACAGUGCCUGACUUGACAGCAAAAUAAAAAUGAAUAAAACCACUUGUUGACCCACAGUAA